GUGCCAGCAGCCGCGGUAAUACGGAGGGUGCAAGCGUUGUCCGGAAUCAUUGGGUGUAAAGGGUGCGUAGGCGGGCUAUUAAGUCUGGGGUGAAAUCUUGCCGCUUAACGGUAAAAUGGCCUUGGAUACUGGUAGUCUUGAGUGUAGAAGAGGCAGGUGGAAUUCGUAGUGUAGCGGUGAAAUGCAUAGAUAUUACGAAGAACAUCAGUGGCGAAGGCGGCCUGCUGGUCUACAACUGACGCUGAGGCACGAAAGCGUGGGGAGCGAACAGGAUUAGAUACCCUGGUAGUCCACGCUGUAAACGAUGCAUACUAGGUGUUGGCCUUUUGGGGUCAGUGCUGCAGUUAACGCAUUAAGUGCCCCACCUGGGGAGUACGCCCGCAAGGGUGAAACUCAAAUGAAUUGACGGGG
This 411-nucleotide ribosomal RNA is filed under the name uncultured prokaryote. RNAcentral describes it as "bacterial SSU rRNA". It matches the Rfam family "Bacterial small subunit ribosomal RNA", at positions 505 to 918 of the family's 1533-position model. The record is from RNAcentral.